AUACGGAGGGUGCAAGCGUUAUCCGGAUUCACUGGGUUUAAAGGGUGCGUAGGUGGGUUGGUAAGUCAGUGGUGAAAUCCCCGAGCUUAACUUGGGAACUGCCAUUGAUACUAUCAGUCUUGAAUACUGUGGAGGUCAGCGGAAUAUGUCAUGUAGCGGUGAAAUGCUUAGAUAUGACAUAGAACACCAAUUGCGAAGGCAGCUGGCUACACGAAUAUUGACACUGAUGCACGAAAGCGUGGGGAUCAAACAGG
RNAcentral lists this ribosomal RNA (254 nucleotides) under uncultured prokaryote. Its description in RNAcentral is "partial 16S ribosomal RNA". It matches the Rfam family "Bacterial small subunit ribosomal RNA", at positions 523 to 776 of the family's 1533-position model. The record is from RNAcentral.